This 506-nucleotide ribosomal RNA is filed under the name uncultured bacterium. RNAcentral's name for it is "partial 16S ribosomal RNA". It matches the Rfam family "Bacterial small subunit ribosomal RNA", at positions 28 to 523 of the family's 1533-position model. The record is from RNAcentral.
GAUGAACGCUAGCUACAGGCUUAACACAUGCAAGUCGAGGGGUAACGAGAGGAAAGCUUGCUUUCCUUGUCGACGACCGGCGCACGGGUGAGUAACGCGUAUCCAACCUGCCCCCAACUAGGGAAUAACCUUGCGAAAGUAAGACUAAUACCCUAUAAUUUCCUCAGAUGUCAUCUGACGAGGAAUAAAGAUUUAUCGGUUGUGGAUGGGGAUGCGUCUGAUUAGCUUGUUGGCGGGGUAACGGCCCACCAAGGCAACGAUCAGUAGGGGUUCUGAGAGGAAGGUCCCCCACAGUGGAACUGAGACACGGUCCAAACUCCUACGGGAGGCAGCAGUGAGGUAUAUUGGUCAAUGGGCGGAAGCUUGAACCAGCCAAGUAGCGUGCAGGAUGACGGCCCUAUGGGUUGUAAACUGCUUUUAUACAGGAAUAAAGUUAGCCACGUGUGGUUAUUUGUAGGUACUGUAUGAAUAAGGACCGGCUAAUUCCGUGCCAGCCGCCGCUGUAA